ACUCAAAGGAAUUGACGGGGGCCCGCACAAGCAGCGGAGCGUGUGGUUUAAUUCGAGGCUACACGAAGAACCUUACCUGGGUUUGACGUACAGGUGGUAGGGAAGCGAAAGCGGACCGACCUUCGGGAGCCUGUGCAGGUGCUGCAUGGCUGUCGUCAGCUCGUGCCGUGAGGUGUUAGGUUAAGUCCUGUAACGAGCGCAACCCCCGGGAGUAGUUACAAGUGUCUACUCCGACCGCCCGCGAUAAGCAGGGAGGAAGGUGGGGAUGACGUCAAGUCAGCAUGGCCUUUAUAUCCAGGGCUACACACACGCUACAAUGGUCGGCACAAUGGGUCGCCAAGCGGUAACGCGGAGCCAAUCCAGCAAAGCCGAUCUCAGUUCGGAUUGAGGGCUGCAACCCGCCCUCAUGAAGGUGGAGUUGCUAGUAACCGCCGGUCAGCCAUACGGCGGUGAAUACGUUCCCGGGCCUUGUACACACCGCCCGU
This 485-nucleotide ribosomal RNA is filed under the name uncultured bacterium. RNAcentral's name for it is "partial 16S ribosomal RNA". It matches the Rfam family "Bacterial small subunit ribosomal RNA", at positions 899 to 1397 of the family's 1533-position model. The record is from RNAcentral.